Molecule: long non-coding RNA, 802 nt
Filed under: Capsicum annuum
Lineage: Eukaryota; Viridiplantae; Streptophyta; Magnoliopsida; Solanales; Solanaceae
Description: long non-coding RNA (CANN_LNC008507)
Source: RNAcentral
UUGAAUGGCCUUAUUUAAUUGUACUUACAAAGAAGAUACAGUUCGCAUAACUGCUAUAGAAGGAUGACCUAAUAUCAUAUGCCAUAACAUCCCAUCUUUAACUAUUUUAACAAUAGUUGUCCCAACUGUAGGAGUUGUUACUUGUCCAGUGUCUCUUAGUAAGUAAAGGUCACUUAUUUCUCUACCAAUUCCCAUAAUCUUCCCAUUGGAGAGCCCCUAAAAAUAUACAUAGAUCAGGUAAGAAUAUCACCGCACAACACAAUUCCUUGGUGAGUUUAGAGACGGAUAGAAGAUUAAAUUUAAAAUCUGGAACAUAUAGCACAUUAGGAACUUCAUAUCCACCUAAUACCAUGCAUUUCUGUAUUAGCUAUCUGAGAUUUACCACCUAUUGGUUUUUCCAUUUUAUCAACAUGUGCAUCUUCUAUACUUCUAAGAGCUUUCAGAAGUUCUCUACAAGGUGUAAUAUAAUGUUUAACUCCUGAAUCCACUAUCCAAUCGUAUUUUAAGGUUUUGGUCAAUAAAGAAGUGAUACCUUCUAUAUUAGAAGCACAUCGAGUAGGUGAAGUCUUAUCCAGCUUGUUCAGCACUCCUUGGUAUUGAUCUUUAGUAAACAAACUUUUUACCCUUUGCGGAUAUCCCCCAAAAGGUUCAGCUUCAGCAAUCGUAGUAGAAUUGGCAUGAGGUUUGAAUUCACUAGUUUGCAGACCUUUCUUCUUGCUCUUAAAGUUUGGAGGAUAAUCCACACGUUUAUAUCAAUCAAUUUUUUUGUGCCCUUUGUAACCACAUACUCCACAAGGUGGUC